GGCAAGGAAGCUUUGAUUUGCAACUUAGGGAUGCCAGUAUGAGAAUGAAAAUUCACAAGAAGAGAGGAAAUACUGAGGAGAAAAUGGCAGAUUGUGUUUGCUGAAUUUGAUUGACGAAGAAGUCACCAUGAAAAUCACAGUGAACCAUUUGGAAAGCAAACUGCCAAAAAAUAAUAGUUAGUCAUGCUCUCAGGCUGGUUGUUUUGGCUGUUGUGGGUUUCUUGCAUUUCCAGAUGAUUGCAAAGAGCUGUUUCUCAAUUUCUGCAACAAGUGCCAGCUGAAAUUUUGGUACCAGUUUCAUUAAAUAUGUAGAACAAUUUGAGCCUGAGUGAGUUCUGUGGAGCCCAUACUACCUGCGAUUCAAGCCAGCAACCUUGGAAUCUCCCUGAACAAUUUCUAUGGUGUCCAAUCACAUUUGCAAUCACUCCCCACACUCAGACUGUGUAUUUUUGGCUGCUCUCCAAGCCCUUGAGGAAAACACUUGGAGUCAAUCUCAUCCUUUUGAUGCAGUGCUGAGUAAUGAGAGAUUUUAGAAGAUGGAAAAAAGAAAAAUACAUUGCACUCUGAAACAUUCUACAUAAAAAUGGAAUGUGUGGUCAUUAGAUUAACUCAGGCUUUGGACCUCGGGGCAUAAAACCCAUUUCCUC
RNAcentral lists this long non-coding RNA (647 nucleotides) under Homo sapiens (human). Its description in RNAcentral is "non-protein coding lnc-NETO1-1:12". The record is from RNAcentral. Lineage: Eukaryota; Metazoa; Chordata; Mammalia; Primates; Hominidae.